This 609-nucleotide long non-coding RNA is filed under the name Lathyrus oleraceus (garden pea). RNAcentral's name for it is "Pisum sativum (pea) long non-coding RNA (PSAT_LNC005210)". The record is from RNAcentral. Lineage: Eukaryota; Viridiplantae; Streptophyta; Magnoliopsida; Fabales; Fabaceae.
GAGAUGAGUUUUAUUCAUUAGAUGAUACAGUGAAUUUCUAAUAACUUGUCUUGGAUGAGUGAGAUUUUGAUAAUGGUUUUCUUAAUAUGGAGUGACUAUGAUAUAAUUUGUAUCAUUUUGUUUGGUUGAUUUAUCUUUUUUUUAUUGAAAGUGCUAAGUUUAAAUAAACACAAAUUUUUCAUCUCAACUUAAACUCUUUAUAAAUUAUGCUCAUAAAUUGCAUCAUUAUAUUAACAUAUAAAAUAUAUAUAGAUGUGUCCUAAUCCUAUAUUUUUUACCUUAGCGGGUCCUCAUGUCCUUGUCCAUGUCCCAUAUCCGUGUCUGAGUCCGGUCUUCAUAGUUUGUAGGUAUAUUUUACAUAAAAUAGGGAUUGCAUGAAAGAUAAGGAAUGCAGAUUGCAAGAAAGAUAAGGUUUGCAGGAAAGAUAAGGAUUGCAGAUUGCAGGAAAGAUAGGGUUUGCAGAUUGCAGGAAACCAUGUGAGUGAAGUAACCAUUACUAGUUACUGUUCACAACGAUUAGUCCGUGAUUGUUUGAAACUUGAAAUGAAGUGAUAAAAGCUCUAUUAAUUUGCGCUCUUUCAAAAACAAGUCUCAGGGUUAUGUUUCAAA